This is an RNA transcript of Oncorhynchus mykiss (rainbow trout), 3118 nucleotides long. RefSeq lists it as uncharacterized. NCBI's taxonomy places the organism in Eukaryota, Metazoa, Chordata, Actinopteri, Salmoniformes, Salmonidae. The record is from RefSeq and is a predicted model, not a curated record.
AAACUGAAACACCCCUAUCAGUUGCCAUUUUACUUUGGACAAGGCUUGACUAGAUUUGUACCUGAAAACGCAAUAUUUGAUGAGGAGGCGUGAGUGCAGUUCUCUUUAGUAUUUUGUAAAGAAAGUGUGUCCUUGUUCAAAUUUGAUCGGAGUUAUCGGCGCAAGGGAGCAGCGGUUUGCACAAGAAGGGCUCAUCUCGGACGUGAGUAUUGCCAAUGCUAACAGAUGGUAUAUGCCAUGAAUUGUAAGGAAGCUGCAGAGAAGGUUGUCUUGUCAUGGUCGCGAUUCACCUCAGCUGGCCAAACUACUCUACUGGAGACCCUGAAGGCAUUCAGUCCUAUGUCAGAUGACCUUUUUGACAGUGAAAAGGAACUGGCCACUUUUAUUGAGGGACUCAAAGAUGAAGGUCACAAGCCUACUGUACUUAAAAGUAAGGAUGUCUAUGGUUACAGGUCUUGUACUUCAGUACUCAGGCCUUUAGUAAAGACGCAGAGUACUCUGGACAUUGCUACCUCAAAGGUUAAAAAGACUGGCAAAAGGAAGAGUCGAAAACCCCUGGACAAGAACACUGAAAUCAACUAUGCUUUGUUAAGUGCAGCAGCGAAAGUCGUCCUGAAGAAUCAACCCAAGAUUCUUUUGACAAAUCUGUCAAAGGAGUCUCUCAAACAGACGGUCCUCUCAAAACCACCGGACUUGGCUGUUGGCCCUGUCCAGAUGCAGUCAUACAUAAGACUGACAAACAUAAUUGGACCCUCUACAGGCCACACAGCAAGACUGCAGUUCCACACAGGUGUGGUCAGAAGAGGUAACGGUACCCAACUCUCAUCGGCCACCAUCUCUAACAGGGACACAAGCACUGCAUUUGGAAGGUACCGGAAACUCCGAAAAAUCAGUCACUUUGAGGAGAGUGAACUUUGUGCCUUGCCCAGUCAAUAUCAUUGGAGUCCCUGUUCCUGCCAUGCUGCACAACGACCGGUUUUUGAAGGAAUGCAACAGAAUGCCUUGCUGGAGGGACCAGAAAAUGAGAAGGACUGAUGAGGCUGAGGACUAACUCUGUGAAGAGGCCCAGAAAAGGGGUCUGGCUGGUCAAAGAGCAGGAAGACCUCUGACUGAGCCAGAGCAACCGGAGGUUCGAGGUGAAGGUUGACUCAAUCAUUGACAAGGUGAGGUAAGCCCAGAAGAUCCUUCGAGGUCACCGGUCAGAGAUUCGACCACUUAUUGCCUACCCAAUGUGAACGGCCGUCAAGAGUCUUAUUCCUUUUGUCCUCCAUGUACAUGUUCAAACAAGUUUCAGUUACAUCUCAAAUCGAGACGGUGCUUUGUCUUGGCUGUGCUCAGUUUGGGAGGAUUGGGAUUGUUUGGGAUACUUUUCUGAGAUUGGGAAAAAUAAUAUUUAUGUUCAAUAUAUGUUUACAUAAGAGGAUGCUGGUGUAUUACCUAAACAUCCAAAAAUCUGGUUUGUUUUGUCUAACACUGCACAUAGUAUAGGCCACCCCUUGACUGAUAAGGGAAGGAAUGGAUAAGUGGUGAGUUGAACCUACAGUGUGUGUGUAAUGUUAUAUAUAUUCUUCUUUUGAACCAUUAUGAAAUGUAAUUUUCUUCUGUUUUAUAAAUGAUACACACAUCUUUGACAAUGAAGUCAUGUAUAACUAUGCAGCAUUCACUUGCUAGAAUAUUACAGCUAUUUUAUAUACAUUUCUAGUCAUGUCAUUACUGUAUUUUGGAUAAUUGGGUCCAUUCAAAUAGUGUUUUCUUUUUUUUUUUUUUUUUUUUUUUUUUUUUUUCAUGUGUUAUGAAGGUAGUUUUGUUUUUGGAUGUGAUAAGUUAAGAGCUCCUAUACAUCUGUUAAAGGAUGCAUAUGGAACAGGGCAAACAACAACCACAGCGUAGCCUAUUCACAACCAAUACUGCCCUAUCAAGCUAAAAAGGCAGUAACUGGUCAAAUGAGCUGUUUAUUUUUUUCCUUCAUGAAAUACAUGUGGACAAGUAUCCUGCCUCUUGUGUUUUGGAGAAAGUGAGGGUCAUGUUAGCAGUUACUGUGAAACAAGGUAAAUAAAAGCCAUCUUUCUCAGUUCUACACUAUGAGCAGUUAGUGCCUUUUUUUUGCUUUGUAGGGCAGAAUAGUAAUCUUAUUUCUCCUAAUUAAAAAAAUAAAAAGCUACCUUUUUUUUAUUUGCAUUUGCAUAGACAUUAAAAAACAUUUGGUUUCCUGCCAAUUACGCGUGCCAGCACUCGAUAAACUUGUGGAGUAGUACUCGAUGCGUAGCACUGCAAACAGUGCAGCAUUUUAGAGCUAUCCUAUGGAGAGAAAUUGCAACAAUGUUCUGACACUAGCGCAGUAAUCAAAUUACAUGUCACAAUGUUUUGAUUAAUUUACAGAUGUCGAUAGUGAUGACAGGGUGAUUUGCAUAAUAUAGACUUUGCUGAAAUGUGUUGAUCAUAACAGCUGUAAUAUAACCAGUAAUUUUGUAAUAAAAUAUGAGACGCUGGGAUGAAUUGAUCAGGGGUAUGUUCAUUCAACAAAUAACCCGUUUCUUGUACAAAUCAAUGCCCAUACGUCCAAAAGGCUACUGACUGGGAGUGUAGUCAUAAGGUCUGAAUGCUAACUGCCACAAUCUCAUAUUAGAAAACAUGCCAUGGUCUCUGCAUAUAAAACUCCGAGCAUAUUAUUCAAGCCAUUAUUGAGGGUACAGAACAGCACACGAAUAAGGCAGCAAGAGAGAGGGAAGUUAGCAGCCCAUGGGACCACCAGGUGAAUAGGUGCAUGCAUUUUCCACCUAUCAAAACCCUGCUAACAACAAAUGUUCCCACACCUUCAGAGCAAGUUCCCUUAAGAGUCUACCGUUUUCAUAGGAAUGUUCCAGUGGAGUGCAAGGACUGUUUCCAAGAGACCAGUCCGUUAAUGUCAAACACAAUUUACCCAGAACGUGGUUACCAUGUUCACUGAAUAUUCAAUGUUCUAGAUACGUUUUCUAAGGGUUGGGAGAAUAUUCCAAUGUCCCACCAAACAUACACAGAACAUGGCAAACUCUAAAAUAUGAAUGUUCUAGACACGUUUCAUUGUAACGUUGCCAGAACAUUUGUGUCAGUUGUCCGGAAGUCUCCUGAUGAUCCCAAA